UUGUACACACCGCCCGUCACACCAUGAGAGUUUGUAACACCCAAAGCCGGUGGGGUAACCUUUUAGGAGCUAGCCGUCUAAGGUGGGACAGAUGAUUAGGGUGAAGUCGUAACAAGGUAGCCGUAGGAGAACCUGCGGCUGGAUCACCUCCUUUCUAAGGAAUAAUACGGAACCGCACACGAGUCAAAGUUUUGUUUAGUUUUGAGAGGUCUACUCUCAAAACACAUGCGUAUCGGGCCUAUAGCUCNAGCUGGUUAGAGCGCACGCCUGAUAAGCGUGAGGUCGAUGGUUCGAGUCCAUUUAGGCCCAUACAUGGGGAAUUAGCUCAGCUGGGAGAGCGCCUGCCUUGCACGCAGGAGGUCAGCGGUUCGAUCCCGCUAUUCUCCAUUGAACAACGUGUAGGUGUUCUGCUUUUGUUCUUUGAAAACUGAAUAAUAUCUAUAAUUUUCUAAUUUUAAUUAAUCAUAAUUAAACCGAGAGAAAACCGCGUAAUUUUAAAGAGUUAAACAAGAUUAGUUCAAAAUAAUCGCAAUACUCAAUUAAUCGCUUUACCGUAGGUAAAGUUAGGUUAAGUUAGGAAGGGCGCAUGGUGGAUGCCUUGGCAAA
This 606-nucleotide unclassified non-coding RNA is filed under the name Pediococcus acidilactici. Its description in RNAcentral is "partial contains 16S ribosomal RNA, 16S-23S ribosomal RNA intergenic spacer, and 23S ribosomal RNA". The stretch from base 1 to 154 matches the Rfam family "Bacterial small subunit ribosomal RNA", at positions 1381 to 1533 of the family's 1533-position model. The record is from RNAcentral. Lineage: Bacteria; Bacillati; Bacillota; Bacilli; Lactobacillales; Lactobacillaceae.